AGAGUUUGAUCCUGGCUCAGAACGAACGCUGGCGGCGUGGCUAAGACAUGCAAGUUGAACGGACUAUUCUGACGAGUAAUCAGACGAAUAGUUAGUGGCGAACGGGUGAGUAAUGGAUAGGUAACGUGCCCUGUGCUCCGGGAUAGCGUCUCCGAAAGGGGCGGUAAUACCGGAUGAUGUCGUCUGUCGAUGGGCGGACGACCAAAGAUUCAUCGGCGCGGGAGCGGCCUAUCUCCUAUCAGCUUGUUGGUGAGGUAACGGCUCACCAAGGCGAUGACGGGUAGCGGGACUGAGAGGUUGGCCCGCCACAUCGGGACUGAGACACUGCCCGGACCCCCACGGGGGGCUGCAGUAACGAAUCUUGGGCAAUGAGCGAAAGCUUGACCCAGCGACGCCGCGUGUAGGAGGAAGUCCUUCGGGAUGUAAACUACUGUCAGGGGGACGAAAGUGCGCUUCGGCGCAUUGAUCGAANCCCAGAGGAAGUCACGGCUAACUUCGUGCCAGCAGCCGCGGUAAUACGAAGGUGGCAAGCGUUGUUCGGUAUCACUGGGCUUAAAGCGUGUGUAGGCGGAAGCGUCAGCGUUUUGUGAAAUCCCCCGGCUCAACCGGGGAAUUGCUUGACGAACUGCGCUCUAGGCAG
This 640-nucleotide ribosomal RNA is filed under the name uncultured bacterium. RNAcentral describes it as "bacterial SSU rRNA". It matches the Rfam family "Bacterial small subunit ribosomal RNA", at positions 8 to 648 of the family's 1533-position model. The record is from RNAcentral.